RNAcentral lists this long non-coding RNA (1144 nucleotides) under Equus caballus (horse). RNAcentral describes it as "lncRNA (ENSECAG00000042664.2)". The record is from RNAcentral. Lineage: Eukaryota; Metazoa; Chordata; Mammalia; Perissodactyla; Equidae.
CUGAAGUCUAAAGAUACCAAUUGGAAUACAUUAUCCACAGUUACCAGCUGUGGAAUUUUGAGCAUAAGUAAGUUACUAAUCUCUUAGUCUUACUUGCUCAUCUGUUGCCAAGAGCUGGAAGAAGAUGGCCUCUGCAGGGUCACCUUCCAAGUCCCUCAGGAAGGCAACUAACGGGAGGAACUUAAUGUGCAUCCAGAGACCAAGAUGGCGGGAGUGUGGGAAACGUGGCUUUUAGCAUGCCAGCACCUUCCAAAGGGAAGAUAGGUGGAAUGGAGGUGAAGGGACCGAUGCAAAGUGCUAAACACAAGUUUAAAAUUUGGACUAUGGCUGUUUACAAGGAAGAAUCAAUGUCUUCACACAGGGAGAUCUUUAAAGGCUUUAUUAAAAUGCAGAGAAGGCUUUCCAACAAGGAUGCGAGGGCAGAUGGAAGUGAGAGGCCUUCAUAACGAGAUUAAGCAGAUGGGAAAGUUUACGACUAAUGAGAAGGGCAAAAGGACGCUAAAAGUGAUCAUUUUCUUGAAAUUAUAGUGAGGAGAAGGAUCUGUGCUUUACGUCUUGGGAACCUCCUCUGGUCAUGAACUCAGAAUGGGAAUUUUUUCCAGUAUUCUCUGGGGUAGCUGCUUUCAGAAAGAGGCGGAAAGGCAUGACACUACUUUAAGGUGUUCUAACAGUCUAUCAGAGUCUGCGAUUCAGCCACUUAGAACUUUCAAGACAGUGUGUUGAAGGUAUGGAUGGGACUGAGGAAGAAUACAAUGGGAUAAAUUCUGUGAAUUUCAAGGCUAAUUAAUCUCAAGAAGUUUAUCAUUGAUGACAGCUGCUACGGCUUGAUCCUGCUCUUGCAAGGUUUGCACAUUACUAGAUUCCAGUUGGCAGAGUUUUAAGUGAAGUCUUCUUCUAUUUCAAGACAAGGGAAAUAUGAAAAGGGGUGUAUGUUGGAUCCAAUUUAGGCGCCUCCCCAGAUGCACUCUAUCUAGUAUGUCUUCUGGGCAUGCUUCUAACACAGAGCUCCCGUGCCCACUGUCACCACAUCUCCUGCCCACAGAGAUUAUGGUCUAAUUUUGGUCCAGGAUUUUAUAAUAAAGAUAAUAGAACAACAAAAAUGACCAAAUGUGUGACCUCACCAGAAUUUUCAUGUUGAAGUCAG